CGGAGGGUGCAAGCGUUAUCCGGAUUUUACUGGGUUUAAAGGGUGCGUAGGUGGGUAAGAAAGUCAGUGGUGAAAUCUUCGGGCUUAACCCGGAAACUGCCAUUUGAUACUAUUUUAUCUUGAAUACUUUGGAGGUAAGCGGAAUAUGUCAUGUAGCGGUGAAAUGCUUAGAUAUGACAUAGAACACCAAUUGCGAAGGCAGCUUUACUACACAGUUAUUGACACUGAGGCACGAAAGCGUGGGGAUCAAACAGGAUU
RNAcentral lists this ribosomal RNA (258 nucleotides) under uncultured bacterium. Its description in RNAcentral is "partial 16S ribosomal RNA". It matches the Rfam family "Bacterial small subunit ribosomal RNA", at positions 526 to 779 of the family's 1533-position model. The record is from RNAcentral.